This 487-nucleotide ribosomal RNA is filed under the name Polaromonas sp. CL6.24. RNAcentral describes it as "bacterial SSU rRNA". It matches the Rfam family "Bacterial small subunit ribosomal RNA", at positions 17 to 503 of the family's 1533-position model. The record is from RNAcentral. Lineage: Bacteria; Pseudomonadati; Pseudomonadota; Betaproteobacteria; Burkholderiales; Comamonadaceae.
CCCUGGCUCAGAUUGAACGCUGGCGGCAUGCCUUACACAUGCAAGUCGAACGGUAGAGUAGCAAUACUCGAGAGUGGCGAACGGGUGAGUAAUAUAUCGGAACGUGCCCAGUCGUGGGGGAUAACGUAGAGAAAUUUACGCUAAUACCGCAUACGAUCUACGGAUGAAAGCGGGGGACUCGCAAGGGCCUCGCGCGAUUGGAGCGGCUGAUAUCAGAUUAGGUUGUUGGUGAGGUAAAAGCUCACCAAGCCGACGAUCUGUAGCUGGUUUGAGAGAACGACCAGCCACACUGGGACUGAGACACGGCCCAGACUCCUACGGGAGGCAGCAGUGGGGAAUUUUGGACAAUGGGCGAAAGCCUGAUCCAGCAAUGCCGCGUGCAGGAAGAAGGCCUUCGGGUUGUAAACUGCUUUUGUACGGAACGAAACGGUCCUUUCUAAUAAAGAGGGCUAAUGACGGUACCGUAAGAAUAAGCACCGGCUAACUA